RNAcentral lists this non-coding RNA (204 nucleotides) under Monodelphis domestica (gray short-tailed opossum). RNAcentral describes it as "Eukaryotic large subunit ribosomal RNA". It matches the Rfam family "Eukaryotic large subunit ribosomal RNA", at positions 2129 to 2337 of the family's 3401-position model. The record is from Rfam by way of RNAcentral. Lineage: Eukaryota; Metazoa; Chordata; Mammalia; Didelphimorphia; Didelphidae.
GGAAUCUAACUGUUUAAUUAAAUUUUAAUUUAAUUAUAAAGCACACCAUGGCAUUGAUGAAUAUGAUUUCUGCUCUGUUCUCAAUUUCAAAGUGAAAAACUUAACCUAGGACACGUCAACAACAGAAUUAACUGAGUUGCUUAAGCUAGCCAAAUGCCUUAUCAUUUAAUUAGUGGUGCACAUGACUAGAUGAAUGAGAUCUCC